CGACGCCAUGUCCGGUGAUGCCGCCGUGCCGGCCAUCCGACGCACACCCCGGCCUAUGAGGCCACCUGUCGGCCCCGCAGCCGAACCCUAGCCCCGGAUCCCCUCGCCCCUUCCUCUCCACAGCCCUCGACACCGACCCGCCGCAGCGCCGCGGUCGCCGCCGCCCACGUCAUCAUGCCGCCUCGCCGCCGGCUCCGUCGAGCCUCCCUGUCCCCUCCUCUGCAACGG
RNAcentral lists this long non-coding RNA (228 nucleotides) under Hordeum vulgare. RNAcentral's name for it is "long non-coding RNA (HVUL_LNC012489)". Lineage: Eukaryota; Viridiplantae; Streptophyta; Magnoliopsida; Poales; Poaceae. The record is from RNAcentral.